GUAAAAGUUAUGACGAAAGAAAGUAGCCCUGUAAGGCAUGCGCAGAGAGCCGUUGGUUGGUGUAAAACGGCAGUGAUUACAGUGUGAAGUUCCUUUCCGAACUGCAAGGCUGAAUUAAGUAGGCUGCGCCGGCGUGGUUGUCGUUAGAAGAACUAUGAGUUGGUCGAUUCGAGAUAAUGAGGGUGGUACCGCGGAUAUUCCGUCCCUUGG
This 210-nucleotide non-coding RNA is filed under the name Veillonella sp. RNAcentral's name for it is "T-box sequence". It matches the Rfam family "T-box leader". From Rfam's summary of the family: Uncharged tRNA acts as the effector for transcription antitermination of genes in the T-box leader family. T-boxes are found upstream of many aminoacyl-tRNA synthetase genes and some amino acid biosynthetic genes usually in Gram-positive bacteria. The record is from RNAcentral. Lineage: Bacteria; Bacillati; Bacillota; Negativicutes; Veillonellales; Veillonellaceae.